UUCGGAGGGUGCAAACGUUGUUCGGAUUCAUUGGGCUUAAAGGGCACGUAGGCGGCCGACUAAGUCGGGUGUGAAAGCCCUCGGCUCAACCGAGGAAUGGCACUCGAAACUGGUCGGCUCGAGUGGAGAAGGGGAGAGCGGAACUUCUGGUGGAGCGGUGAAAUGCGUAGAUAUCAGAAGGAACGCCGGUGGCGAAAGCGGCUCUCUGGUCUCCUACUGACGCUGAGGUGCGAAAGCCAGGGGAGCAAACGGG
RNAcentral lists this ribosomal RNA (253 nucleotides) under uncultured bacterium. Its description in RNAcentral is "partial 16S ribosomal RNA". It matches the Rfam family "Bacterial small subunit ribosomal RNA", at positions 524 to 776 of the family's 1533-position model. The record is from RNAcentral.